CCCUUAGAUGUUCUGGGCUGCACGCGCGCUACACUGAUACUUUCAGCGAGUCCACCACCUUGCCUGAGAGGGUGGGGUAACCUCUGGAAAGUGUAUCGUGAUGGGGAUCGAUUAUUGUAAUUAUUAAUCUUCAACGAGGAAUUCCUAGUAAGCAUGUGUCAUCAGCCCGUGCUGAUUACGUCCCUGCCCUUUGUACACACCGCCCGUCGCACCUACCGAUUGAAUGGUCCGGUGAAAUCUCGGGACGGCGGCUUGGUCGCUUGCGUCCGACUGCUGAAACUUGAUUAAACCAUAUCAUUUAGAGGAAGGUGAAGUCGUANCA
RNAcentral lists this ribosomal RNA (322 nucleotides) under uncultured eukaryote. RNAcentral's name for it is "partial 18S ribosomal RNA". It matches the Rfam family "Eukaryotic small subunit ribosomal RNA", at positions 1470 to 1796 of the family's 1831-position model. The record is from RNAcentral.